CCUACGGGUGGCUGCAGUGAGGAAUAUUGGUCAAUGGGCGCGAGCCUGAACCAGCCAAGUCGCGUGAGGGAGGACGGCCCUACGGGUUGUAAACCUCUUUUGCCGGGGGGCAACGGGCGUCACGUGUGGCGCCCCUGAGAGUACCCGGAGAAAAAGCAUCGGCUAACUCCGUGCCAGCAGCCGCGGUAAUACGGAGGCUGCGAGCGUUAUCCGGAUUUAUUGGGUUUAAAGGGUGCGUAGGCGGAGCGUUAAGUAGGUGGUAAAAUUGAGGGGCUCAACCCCUUCCCGCCAUUGAAACUGGCGUUCUUGAGUGGAAGAGAGGUAUGCGGAAUGCGUGGUGUAGCGGUGAAAUGCAUAGAUAUCACGCAGAACCCCGAUUGCGAAGGCAGCAUGCCGGCUUCCGACUGACGCUGAAGCACGAAAGCGUGGGGAUCGAACAGGAUUAGAUACCCCUGUAGUC
RNAcentral lists this ribosomal RNA (460 nucleotides) under uncultured bacterium. RNAcentral's name for it is "partial 16S ribosomal RNA". It matches the Rfam family "Bacterial small subunit ribosomal RNA", at positions 338 to 795 of the family's 1533-position model. The record is from RNAcentral.